UCCUAAAUAGCUCAGUGGUAGAGCACGGAUUAUUUGAUCACGAGUCAGUGGUUCGAUUCCACUUUUAGGAG
RNAcentral lists this transfer RNA (71 nucleotides) under Caudoviricetes sp. RNAcentral's name for it is "tRNA-OTHER". It matches the Rfam family "tRNA". Rfam says of the family: Transfer RNA (tRNA) molecules are approximately 80 nucleotides in length. Their secondary structure includes four short double-helical elements and three loops (D, anti-codon, and T loops). The record is from RNAcentral. Lineage: Duplodnaviria; Heunggongvirae; Uroviricota; Caudoviricetes.